Molecule: ribosomal RNA, 470 nt
Filed under: uncultured bacterium
Lineage: Bacteria
Description: bacterial SSU rRNA
Rfam family: Bacterial small subunit ribosomal RNA
Source: RNAcentral
UGGGGAAUAUUGGACAAUGGGCGCAAGCCUGAUCCAGCCAUGCCGCGUGUGUGAAGAAGGCCUUCGGGUUGUAAAGCACUUUCAGCGAGGAGGAAGGGAGUUGUGUUAAUAGCACAGCUUCUUGACGUUACUCGCAGAAGAAGCACCGGCUAACUCUGUGCCAGCAGCCGCGGUAAUACAGAGGGUGCAAGCGUUAAUCGGAAUUACUGGGCGUAAAGCGCACGUAGGCGGUUUUUAAGUCAGAUGUGAAAGCCCCGGGCUCAACCUGGGAAUUGCAUUUGAAACUGGAAAACUAGAGUGUGUGAGAGGGGGGUAGAAUUCCAAGUGUAGCGGUGAAAUGCGUAGAGAUUUGGAGGAAUACCAGUGGCGAAGGCGGCCCCCUGGCACAACACUGACGCUCAGGCGCGAAAGCGUGGGGAGCAAACAGGAUUAGAUACCCCGGUAGUCCUGAGCGGGCUGGCAAGGCGCAU